GACGAACGCUGGCGGCGUGCCUAAUACAUGCAAGUUGAGCGCUGAAGGUUGGUACUUGUACCAACUGGGUGAGCAGCGAACGGGUGAGUAACGCGUGGGGAAUCUGCCUUUGAGCGGGGGACAACAUCUGGAAACGAAUGCUAAUACCGCAUAAAAACUUUAAACACAAGUUUUAAGUUUGAAAGAUGCAAUUGCAUCACUCAAAGAUGAUCCCGCGUUGUAUUAGCUAGUUGGUGAGGUAAAGGCUCACCAAGGCGAGGAUACAUAGCCGACCUGAGAGGGUGAUCGGCCACAUUGGGACUGAGACCCGGCCCAAACUCCUGCGGGAGGCAGCAGUAGGGAAUCUUCGGCCAUGGACCAAAGUCUGACCGAGCAACGCCGCGUGAGUGAAGAAGGUUUUCGGGUCGUAAAACUCUGUAGGUAGAGAAGAACGUUGGUGGGAGUGGAAAGCUCAUCCAGUGACGGUAACUACCCAGAAAGGGACGGCUAACUACGUG
RNAcentral lists this ribosomal RNA (497 nucleotides) under uncultured bacterium. RNAcentral describes it as "partial 16S ribosomal RNA". It matches the Rfam family "Bacterial small subunit ribosomal RNA", at positions 28 to 507 of the family's 1533-position model. The record is from RNAcentral.